AUAGAUAGUUUGGCUGGUGCACACUAUGGCCCAAGCUGUUCAGAUGCAUUGCUACAGAUUGUCACAGCUACAGAAGACCAGCCUGUGCACACCUAGCCUCAGAUCCUGGUGGAGGGAAUGGGCUGUAGCUCAGUGAGCUCUCAUGCCCCACUCUCCCCUCUUGCUACCCCAAGCUAAAAUCUGUAGAUCACUUCUGCCUUUGCAGCAAAACCACAUGAAACCCAUUCUGUGAAGAUGUCUGUGAUUUCACAGCUGCCCCUGGGACCGAAGAAAUAUACAGAGCCUAUGAACACAGGCAGUGUCCACCCUUCCCACCACACUUUAGGAAGCCAGUUUGCUUGCCUGUCUCUCCUGAAGUGUGGGUUCAGUCCCAUGCCCACCUACCAAUGGCAAGCCCAGUGACAGGGACCUUCCUCAGCAUAUGCAGCAGAAGAUGGCUCAGGCCUUCAAGAGGUCACAAACCUGCUUGUCCCACUUUCUGCAGCACAGCAGCUGGCUACACAGUGAGAUGACUCUUCAGCACAGAAGAGUAGACUUCGCACAAUUUUUGGAAGGAGGAGACAUACAAACCUACUUUCUGGAAAGGAUUCAUUGCCCUACUUUGAGGAAGCAGAGACAGAGCUCUGAAGCCCUGAGGAUAUGACAUAAACACUCAUAUUCUCUGUUUUUCUUACUGGAUUUCUCUAAAGGACUUUCCAAUCAUUAUCCUGACUGUAAGACCUCAUCUGAAGCUUGGGAACCAAACACAUUAAAAAAACCAAAACAAAACAACCCACAGCUUUUAUGUACAUCAGUAUUCCAUUGAUCUACCUAAAACUGUGGGCCCUAGCACAUGGCUUUGAUAGCUGUGUGUGAGAGCUGUAACAUGUUUAGUUUAAAGAAGGGGCAUUCUGCAGCUUUCACACUCCUAUGCAUUCAAAACAUGCUUGAGCAAUGCAAGAUCCUGAGACUUUAAUACAUUAUGCAUUCUUAUCUGCCUCUAUUUCAAGACCUUGAAGGUCCACUCACAUCUCACUUUCAAGUGCUCAGCUUCAGUCACAUAGACACAGCCUGCUUGUGAUUCUGUGGUUGGGCAGACACUGGUCAGAUUAGUCCCAUCUAUCAGCAGCACAAAUUAAAUCCCUAAUGCUGCUGUGGCUGACACAAAAGAGCAAAACAUUAUAUUGGACUUUUCUGAUAAUAAAAUUUCUCCUUAAAAAUCCUGUGGCACUUGCAUAACACACUUGUUUCUGUGUCAGAAAUCUUACCAAGUUAGCACACCUAAAAUACGUAUUUGUUCAAAAUUCAGUGCCUGUGUGCAGGUAAGACAACAGGAGGCAGGUUUUAGACUCAGAAAGCAUCAUAGAUAUCUUCUUUUUCCCCAGUAAUUUCCCUUUCUUAGCCCUACAGUAUGUAAAAACACAAACAGCUAAUACCUAAUCAAACAAUUUCUCUUGCUUUUUGUGAAGAAAGAUGGAAAAUGUUACUAUUAUUUCUAUUUUUAAA
Cyanistes caeruleus (blue tit) is the source of this 1485-nucleotide non-coding RNA. NCBI's taxonomy places the organism in Eukaryota, Metazoa, Chordata, Aves, Passeriformes, Paridae. The record is from RefSeq and is a predicted model, not a curated record.